Opitutaceae bacterium TAV5 is the source of this 73-nucleotide transfer RNA. It matches the Rfam family "tRNA". Rfam says of the family: Transfer RNA (tRNA) molecules are approximately 80 nucleotides in length. Their secondary structure includes four short double-helical elements and three loops (D, anti-codon, and T loops). Lineage: Bacteria; Pseudomonadati; Verrucomicrobiota; Opitutia; Opitutales; Opitutaceae. The record is from Rfam.
GCCCAGAUAGCUCAGUUGGUAGAGCACACCCUUGGUAAGGGUGAGGUCGUCAGUUCGAAUCUGAUUCUGGGCU